GACGGAGGGGGCUAGCGUUGUCCGGAAUUACUGGGCGUAAAGCGCGCGUAGGCGGCCUGCUAAGUCGGGCGUGAAAGCCCGGGGCUCAACCCCGGAGGUGCGCUCGAGACUGGCGGGCUGGAGUCCGGGAGAGGGUGGUGGAAUUCCCAGUGUAGAGGUGAAAUUCGUAGAUAUUGGGAAGAACACCGGUGGCGAAGGCGGCCACCUGGACCGGCACUGACGCUGAGGCGCGAAAGCGUGGGGAGCAAACAGG
Molecule: unclassified non-coding RNA, 253 nt
Filed under: uncultured Alphaproteobacteria bacterium
Lineage: Bacteria; Pseudomonadati; Pseudomonadota; Alphaproteobacteria
Description: contains 16S-23S intergenic spacer region
Rfam family: Bacterial small subunit ribosomal RNA
Source: RNAcentral